CGUUCCAAAGCGCUUGAAGCUUUUAAAGUGAGGCUGGAGCAAUCAUUAAACAAAGGAAGAGGAUUUGCUACAUAUGCUCGUAUCUGUACUCACUCUUCCAUGCUUGAGUUUGACAAAGGAUGUGCAGAUGCUUCCGUAAUACAAGCUAAUUGGGAUGCUUCAAGAGUUCGCGAAAAACUUCAACGUGAUAUAGAUGCACAUGCAUCAUCCGUUUGUAGUGCAAAGUUGUCAGAAUUGAAUGUCAACUAUGAGCAACAACUGUCUGCAUCUUUAACUGGAC
Long non-coding RNA from Prunus dulcis (almond), 280 nucleotides. RefSeq lists it as uncharacterized. The transcript has 3 exons. NCBI's taxonomy places the organism in Eukaryota, Viridiplantae, Streptophyta, Magnoliopsida, Rosales, Rosaceae. The record is from RefSeq and is a predicted model, not a curated record.